GUGCUUACCUGACAGGGGAGAUACUAUGAUCAGGAAGCUGGUUUUCCCAGAAAGAGGCUUAUCCAUUGCACUCUGGAUAUGCUGACCCCCGUGAUUUCCCCAAACUCGACUGCAUAAAAUGUGAUAGUGGGGGACUGUGUUCACGGUUA
This is a small nuclear RNA of Camelus dromedarius (Arabian camel), 149 nucleotides long. Its record names the gene U1. It matches the Rfam family "U1 spliceosomal RNA". Rfam says of the family: U1 is a small nuclear RNA (snRNA) component of the spliceosome (involved in pre-mRNA splicing). The record is from Ensembl. Lineage: Eukaryota; Metazoa; Chordata; Mammalia; Artiodactyla; Camelidae.